AUGUGUGCCUAUGCCAAGAGGCACACAUAUUACUAUUCCUCGGAUUUAUUAUUCUUAUUAUUAUUAUGUGUGCCUAUGCCAAGAGGCACACAUAUUACUAUUCGUCGGAUUUAUUAUUCUUAUUAUUAUUAUUAUUAUUAUUAUGUGUGCCUAUGCCAAGAGGCACACAUAUUACUAUUCCUCGGAUUUAUUAUUAUGUGUGCCUAUGCCAAGAGGCACACAUAUUACUAUUCGUCGGAUUUAUUAUUAUUAUUAUUAUGUGUGCCUAUGCCAAGAGGCACACAUAUUACUAUUCGUCGGAUUUAUUAUUCUUAUUAUGUGUGCCUAUGGAAAGAGGCACACAUAUUACUAUUCGUCGGAUUUAUUAUUCUUCUUAUUAUGUGUGCCUAUGACAAGAGGCACACAUAUUACUAUUCGUCGGAUUUAUUAUUAUGUGUGCCUAUGACAAGAGGCACACAUAUUACUAUUCGUCGGAUUUAUUAUUAUUAUUAUUAUGUGUGCCUAUGCCAAGAGGCACACAUAUUACUAUUCCUCGGAUUUAUUAUUAUUAUUAUUAUUAUUAUUAUUAUUAUUAUUAUUCUCCAGUUUCCGCCUGAAAUUUUGCAGCGAAUCUCGCCCGCAGUUUGAGACAAGCUUCAUAUAUGUUACCUCAUUUUGUGCGGCCGGAUCUGGAAUGGUGUGCUAUGACUUUUGGUCUUUAUGAAUUUUAUAGUUUUUAAAUAUUAAUAUUUUAGUGAAAAUUUUCCCGCGCUCCUCUGCCGAACAGUUUUGACAUUAGGGUUACAUAUGUUAGAUCAUUUUGUGCGGCUGGAGCUGGACUAUUAUGUCAUGACUUUUGGUGUUCAUGACUUUUAUAGUUUUUUAAAUAUUAAUAUUUUAGUGCAAAUUUAGGCCAAUUCAUCUUUUGGCGCCAAAUAAACAGACUUCAUUUGUGGUGUGUUGGCUCUCUCUAGUGGUAUGCCGGGAGUGGUACAGCCUGUCUACCCUUAUUUGGAUUACCGUAAUGAUGACAAUUUCAACGGUGCGCACAGCGUCGCUGCUUUCAGGAGCCAUUGGAAUUUUUAAGGUUGCGCAAAUCAUUCAAAAGUUACGGUAAUGCUUGGUGGAAAACUCAAUAUCCCACAAUUCAUAGCACGCCUCUACAGAGUGAACAAUGGCAGCCACCACUUCGUUUUAUAUGUCUUUUAUUCGUGUUUCUAGGUCACAAAAUAAGCUUUUAAGAUAUUUUCAGGCGAGAAUGUAGGUGUGUAAACUUCAAAUAUCUGCUUGUUUUAUCAAGACAUCCCAUAUUUAGCGACAGUGCUCUGACUACGUCGGUCCUGCCUGACAGCUAGCUGGCUACCUAGCUAGCUGCCGCACUUGGCUGCAAAUGGAUAGCGAGGGGACUCUCUGUAGUUUCACCUCCCCGGUCUCUCGCAAAUGCUCGCAUAGAAUCAGAGUUACAGCUGGAUGUGGAAAAAAUAACUGAGUUGUUUGGUGGUGGAGCUACAACAGAGGGCAGCUACCCACCGGUGUGUGACAGAAAGGAUAUGCCGCCAACGAGACAUAUGAGGCCGGGCAGGCGAUUGCUAACGCGGUGGUCAAUCAUGGAUCAGGGAAAGCGAAGGCAGGAGCGUGAGGUGAACUGAAUUUCAGGUAAGAAGUUAUGAACUGCACUCUAUUUGGGUCAGAUAUAAACCGAGUUUAGGUGUAGUUUAUUUAGCAGCAGUUCUCUUAUGUGUUGCUGAUAGCCGGCUAGCUAGCUAGCGCCGCUAGCAUAGUUAGCUCGCGCCGCUAGCAACCCUUCGUGAAAAAGCACCCAGGCUUGGCUUAUAUUGAGGCGGGUGAAACUCGUGUCAGCACCCGGUCGCUCUCUAUUGGGUCAGAUAUAAACCGAGUUUAGGUGUAGUUUCUUUAGCAGCAGUUUUCUUAUGUGUUGCUGAUAGCCGGUCACAGCACUAGCUAGCUAGCGCCGCUAGCAUAGUUAGCUCGCGCCGCUAGCAACCCUUCGUGAAAAAGCACCCAGGCUUGGCUUAUAUUGAGGCGGGUGAAACUCGUGUCAGCACCCGGUCGCUCUCUAUUUGGGUCAGAUAUAAACCGAGUUUAGGUGUAGUUUAUUUAGCAGCAGUUCUCUUAUGUGUUGCUGAUAGCCGGCUAGCUAGCUAGCGCCGCUAGCAUAGUUAGCUCGCGCCGCUAGCAACCCUUCGUGAAAAAGCACCCAGGCUUGGCUUAUAUUGAGGCGGGUGAAACUCGUGUCAGCACCCGGUCGCUCUCUAUUUGGGUCAGAUAUAAACCGAGUUUAGGUGUAAUUUAUUUUCGUUGACCUUUUACAAUCGUAAUGCCACGGGAGUUUAUAUACAGCUGUGUGCGCACUAAGUUACUGACGUUGGACUUUAUUUUAUUCAUUAGGGUUAGUUCUUAGAGUUGCCGUGCCGUACAAACGGAAUCGUCCCACAUUCAGAGAAAACAUUAUGAUUUAUUCUGUCGUUACGAAGCCUCCCCUGUCAUUCUCUCGCGUGUUGAAACGUCAACCAUGAAACUGAUCAAUGAUCGGCUGUUCGCUCUUAUUUAUCGCGCUAAACAACAGCAGCACGUUUAAGCUUGAUCAGCUGUUGUUAGAAUUCUUUUGAUUUUAAUUUCUAGUAUCAGCUGAUGUUUGCUGGAGCAUGAAGAUGAAAUCAGGAGAUGUCCUUACUGAAUCAUCAGAGCUGAACUGGUGAUGGAGAAACAGGUUUACACUUUAGGUGACAUGAAUGAGUUGAAGGGAAGUUAUGAGUUGUUUCUGAGAGACAAAGACCAAGCUCCUUUUUGUGUAGCUGACAGCUGGUAACUGUGCAGGGGCGGAUCUAGCAAAGCUUUUAGGGGGGGGGGGGGAGCUAGGGCAUUAACAGAGAAAGGUGGACACAAAGAUAUACUUUUCUUUCUUACUCUCAUAUAAAAUAUUUAGCUUUUAUUAAAUAGUUAUCUGAAUCUCACAACCAAAGUUUGUAUAAUAAUACACAGGAUUGCCUGUAGACCAUUGUUCAUAAUUCAGAACACUGUGUAAAAAUAACAAAAAACAAAAAGUGAAUGCAUGUGUGAAAAGUGGUCUAUAAUGUAAUGCUUCAAAGUGUGUUCAUGCAAACAUUGUCGGGUCUGCCGUGGUACAAUGGGACUUCUGCUCAUGAACCUGUGUGCACAGCGUCUGCAAAUCGGCGCUGUACAAAGUAACUUCAUCUUUACACAAAACUGUAAGCUGUCAUCUGUGAAGCGUGAGCGGUGUUUGUUUUUACCAUAGUUCAUGGUGGAGAAUGGCUGCUCUUCUGAGUUUUGCUCUCUGUAGCCGUAUGAAUGGCAAACUACAGUGAUUAGCAGCGGCAUAGGCACACAUAAAAUUUCUUCUGAAAUUUUCGCUUUCUAGUUAUUAUUAUUAUUAUUCUUCAGUUUCCGCCUGAAAUUUUGCAGCGAAACUCGCCCCGCAGUUUUGAGACAAGCUUCAUAUAUGUUACCUCAUUUUGUGCGGCUGGAUCAGGAAUGGUGUGCUAUGACUUUUGGUGUUUAUAACUAUUAUAGUUUUUUAAAUAUUAAUAUUUUAGUGAAAAUUUUCCCGCGCUUCUCUGCGAAACAGUUUUGAAAAUAGGGUUACAUAUGUUACAUCAUUUUGUGCGGCUGGAGCUGGACCAGUAUGGUAUACACUUUUGGUGUUUAUGACUUUUAUAGUUUUUGAAAUAUUUAGAUUUUAGUGCAAAUUUAGGCCAAUUUCCAUAGAAACAGACUUUAUUUGUGGUGGGUUGGCUCUCUCUAGUGGUAUACCGGGAGUAGUACGGCUGAAAAUCUGUAUGCUUGUUACAAAACUCCAUAUCCCAUAAUUCAUAGCACCCCUCUGCCGAGUUAAACAAUGGCGGACACCACUUCGUUUUAUAUGUCUUUUAUUCGUGUUUCUAGGUCACAAAAUACACUUUUAAGAUAUUUUCAGGCGAGAAUGUAGGUGUGUAAACUUCAAAUAUCUGCU
This is a long non-coding RNA of Oreochromis niloticus (Nile tilapia), 3970 nucleotides long. The record is from Ensembl. NCBI's taxonomy places the organism in Eukaryota, Metazoa, Chordata, Actinopteri, Cichliformes, Cichlidae.